GGGACGAAUAACUCAGUAAAACUGCGAUGAUUUAGUCUGGCUGUGUAGAUAACUACGUGAAAAUGUAGCUAAGGGAAGGCAGAAUAAGACGCAGGACUAUCAGUUAGUUGGUAGUGUAAUGGACUACCAAGACAGUGACGGUUGACGGGAAAUUAGGGUUUUGUACCGGAGAGGGAGCCUGAGAGAUUGCUCCCACGUCCAAGGACGGCAGCAGGCGCGAAAAUUGCCCACUCUUUGCAGGAGGCAGUUAUGAGACGUGAAGAUGAGUAUCUUGUAAAGAGGGAUAGGAGAAUUGGAGGGCAAGUUUGGUGCCAGCAGCCGCGGUAAUACCGACUCCAAGAGUGUGUAUGAGAGAUGCUGCAGUUAAAAAGUCCGUAGUCAUAGAAGGGCAAAGAGAGACGCGAGGUCUCACAGUGCGAUGAUGGAGGAGCCGAUGGGGAACAUAGUAUACCAGGGCGAGAGAUGAAAU
This 469-nucleotide ribosomal RNA is filed under the name Vittaforma corneae. RNAcentral describes it as "SSU rRNA". It matches the Rfam family "Microsporidia small subunit ribosomal RNA", at positions 76 to 570 of the family's 1311-position model. Lineage: Eukaryota; Fungi; Microsporidia; Nosematidae. The record is from RNAcentral.